This 485-nucleotide ribosomal RNA is filed under the name uncultured bacterium. Its description in RNAcentral is "partial 16S ribosomal RNA". It matches the Rfam family "Bacterial small subunit ribosomal RNA", at positions 28 to 523 of the family's 1533-position model. The record is from RNAcentral.
GACGAACGCUGGCGGCGUGCUUAACACAUGCAAGUCGAACGGUGAAAGCGGAGCUUGCUCCGCUGGAUCAGUGGCGAACGGGUGAGUAACACGUGGGCAACCUGCCCUUCACUUCGGGAUAACUCCGGGAAACCGGGGCUAAUACCGGAUAUGACCUCUGUGGGCAUCCGCGGAGGUGGAAAGUUUUUCGGUGAAGGAUGGGCCCGCGGCCUAUCAGCUUGUUGGUGAGGUAGUGGCUCACCAAGGCGACGACGGGUAGCCGGCCUGAGAGGGCGACCGGCCACACUGGGACUGAGACACGGCCCAGACUCCUACGGGAGGGAGCAGUGGGGAAUAUUGCGCAAUGGGCGGAAGCCUGACGCAGCAACGCCGCGUGCGGGAUGACGGCCUUCGGGUUGUAAACCGCUUUCAGCAGGGAAGAAGCCGCAAGGUGACGGUACCUGCAGAAGAAGCACCGGCUAACUACGUGCCAGCCGCCGCGGUAA